UUAAGCGACUAAGCGUACACGGUGGAUGCCCUGGCAGUCAGAGGCGAUGAAGGACGUGCUAAUCUGCGAAAAGCGUCGGUAAGGUGAUAUGAACCGUUAUAACCGGCGAUGUCCGAAUGGGGAAACCCAGUGUGAUUCGUCACACUAUCGUUAACUGAAUACAUAGGUUAACGAGGCGAACCGGGGGAACUGAAACAUCUAAGUACCCCGAGGAAAAGAAAUCAACCGAGAUUCCCCCAGUAGCGGCGAGCGAACGGGGAGCAGCCCAGAGUCUGAAUCAGCUUGUGUGUUAGUGGAACGGUCUGGAAAGUCCGACGGUACAGGGUGAUAGUCCCGUACACCAAAAUGCACAGGCUGUGAACUCGAAGAGUAGGGCGGGACACGUGGUAUCCUGUCUGAAUAUGGGGGGACCAUCCUCCAAGGCUAAAUACUCCUGACUGACCGAUAGUGAACCAGUACCGUGAGGGAAAGGCGAAAAGAACCCCGGCGAGGGGAGUGAAAAAGAACCUGAAACCGUGUACGUACAAGCAGUGGGAGCACCUUCGGGUGUGACUGCGUACCUUUUGUAUAAUGGGUCAGCGACUUAUAUUCUGUAGCAAGGUUAACCGUAUAGGGGAGCCGCAGGGAAACCGAGUCUUAACUGGGCGUUAAGUUGCAGGGUAUAGACCCGAAACCCGGUGAUCUAGCCAUGGGCAGGUUGAAGGUUGGGUAACACUAACUGGAGGACCGAACCGACUAAUGUUGAAAAAUUAGCGGAUGACUUGUGGCUGGGGGUGAAAGGCCAAUCAAACCGGGAGAUAGCUGGUUCUCCCCGAAAGCUAUUUAGGUAGCGCCUCGUGAACUCAUCUUCGGGGGUAGAGCACUGUUUCGGCUAGGGGGUCAUCCCGACUUACCAACCCGAUGCAAACUACGAAUACCGAAGAAUGUUAUCACGGGAGACACACGGCGGGUGCUAACGUCCGUCGUGAAGAGGGAAACAACCCAGACCGCCAGCUAAGGUCCCAAAGUCAUGGUUAAGUGGGAAACGAUGUGGGAAGGCCCAGACAGCCAGGAUGUUGGCUUAGAAGCAGCCAUCAUUUAAAGAAAGCGUAAUAGCUCACUGGUCGAGUCGGCCUGCGCGGAAGAUGUAACGGGGCUAAACCAUGCACCGAAGCUGCGGCAGCGACACUAUGUGUUGUUGGGUAGGGGAGCGUUCUGUAAGCCUGCGAAGGUGACCUGUGAGGGUUGCUGGAGGUAUCAGAAGUGCGAAUGCUGACAUAAGUAACGAUAAAGCGGGUGAAAAGCCCGCUCGCCGGAAGACCAAGGGUUCCUGUCCAACGUUAAUCGGGGCAGGGUGAGUCGACCCCUAAGGCGAGGCCGAAAGGCGUAGUCGAUGGGAAACAGGUUAAUAUUCCUGUACUUGGUGUUACUGCGAAGGGGGGACGGAGAAGGCUAUGUUAGCCGGGCGACGGUUGUCCCGGUUUAAGCAUGUAGGCUGAUUGUCCAGGCAAAUCCGGAUAAUCAAGGCUGAGGUGUGAUGACGAGGCACUACGGUGCUGAAGUAACAAAUGCCCUGCUUCCAGGAAAAGCCUCUAAGCAUCAGGUAACAUCAAAUCGUACCCCAAACCGACACAGGUGGUCAGGUAGAGAAUACCAAGGCGCUUGAGAGAACUCGGGUGAAGGAACUAGGCAAAAUGGUGCCGUAACUUCGGGAGAAGGCACGCUGGUGUGUAGGUGAAGUCCCUGCGGAUGGAGCUGAGACCAGUCGAAGAUACCAGCUGGCUGCAACUGUUUAUUAAAAACACAGCACUGUGCAAACACGAAAGUGGACGUAUACGGUGUGACGCCUGCCCGGUGCCGGAAGGUUAAUUGAUGGGGUUAUCCGUAAGGAGAAGCUCUUGAUCGAAGCCCCGGUAAACGGCGGCCGUAACUAUAACGGUCCUAAGGUAGCGAAAUUCCUUGUCGGGUAAGUUCCGACCUGCACGAAUGGCGUAAUGAUGGCCAGGCUGUCUCCACCCGAGACUCAGUGAAAUUGAACUCGCUGUGAAGAUGCAGUGUACCCGCGGCAAGACGGAAAGACCCCGUGAACCUUUACUAUAGCUUGACACUGAACAUUGAGCCUUGAUGUGUAGGAUAGGUGGGAGGCUUUGAAGCGUGGACGCCAGUCUGCGUGGAGCCAACCUUGAAAUACCACCCUUUAAUGUUUGAUGUUCUAACGUUGGCCCCUGACCGGGGUUGCGGACAGUGUCUGGUGGGUAGUUUGACUGGGGCGGUCUCCUCCCAAAGCGUAACGGAGGAGCACGAAGGUUAGCUAAUCCUGGUCGGACAUCAGGAGGUUAGUGCAAUGGCAUAAGCUAGCUUGACUGCGAGCGUGACGGCGCGAGCAGGUGCGAAAGCAGGUCAUAGUGAUCCGGUGGUUCUGAAUGGAAGGGCCAUCGCUCAACGGAUAAAAGGUACUCCGGGGAUAACAGGCUGAUACCGCCCAAGAGUUCAUAUCGACGGCGGUGUUUGGCACCUCGAUGUCGGCUCAUCACAUCCUGGGGCUGAAGUAGGUCCCAAGGGUAUGGCUGUUCGCCAUUUAAAGUGGUACGCGAGCUGGGUUUAGAACGUCGUGAGACAGUUCGGUCCCUAUCUGCCGUGGGCGCUGGAGAAUUGAGGGGGGCUGCUCCUAGUACGAGAGGACCGGAGUGGACGCAUCACUGGUGUUCGGGUUGUCAUGCCAAUGGCACUGCCCGGUAGCUAAAUGCGGAAGAGAUAAGUGCUGAAAGCAUCUAAGCACGAAACUUGCCCCGAGAUGAGUUCUCCCUGAGACUUUAAGUCUCCUGAAGGAACGUUGAAGACGACGACGUUGAUAGGCCGGGUGUGUAAGCGCAGCGAUGCGUUGAGCUAACCGGUACUAAUGAACCGUGAGGCUUAACCUU
This 2900-nucleotide ribosomal RNA is filed under the name Klebsiella pneumoniae BWH 30. RNAcentral describes it as "bacterial LSU rRNA". It matches the Rfam family "Bacterial large subunit ribosomal RNA". Lineage: Bacteria; Pseudomonadati; Pseudomonadota; Gammaproteobacteria; Enterobacterales; Enterobacteriaceae. The record is from RNAcentral.